Molecule: long non-coding RNA, 4356 nt
Organism: Biomphalaria glabrata
Lineage: Eukaryota; Metazoa; Mollusca; Gastropoda; Planorbidae
Exons: 2
Source: RefSeq, a predicted model, not a curated record
GGGGGAGGCAGCAAGUAACUUGUUGACAUUUCACAUAGAACAAGACGGACUAAACCUGCCUAUCAAGGUCGGGUCUUGGGAGUACCCUCAAACAGAUUGUAGCCAAUGCCAACUCUUCCACCAAAGAUGCUUGCGCUCCAUCAUGGACAUACGGUGGCAAGACCGCACUACAAACAGCGAUGUCCUUGCAAACGCCGGUAUGGACAGUAUAGAGGGACUUCUUUUGGUCCGACAGUUACUCUGGGCAGGGCACGUAUCCCGUAUGAGAGACGAACGUAUGCCAAAGGCAGUCUAUUUUUGGUGAACUAAAAGAUGGUCGACGUAACAGAGGCGCCCCACGGAAACGCUUCAAAGACCAGCUUAGGCGUCAACUUUCCUUGGCUGACAUAGAAGAGAGCACCUGGUUGCAUGCGGCCUCAGAACGAGACAGCUGGAGGUCAAUCACGAAGGCCGCGGGAUACACAUUUGAGACCAAAAGAAAAUCUGCUGGCGAGGACAAACGCAGACGGCGAAAAGAAAAACUAAAUCAACCACCUGCGGACAAUGGUUAUGCUUGCCUUGGUUGUGGCAAAAUAUGUAGGUCACCGCUGGGACUGCGCAGCCACGGGAAAUACUGCAUACCUCGCUGAUCUUCGGACUCGAAGACUAGCCUUAUUGUUAUUAUUUUUACCUUUAUAAGUUAAUUAGUAUUCCCAUGUCAUUACAGAUAUGCCCCACCCCCAACCAAUUUUUUUUCUCCCACCCAAUUGUACAUAGCCAAUGUUCUCUAGAUCCUAAUAAACAAACGUAUCUCUUACUGCUGGUCAUAAGUUUAAAGGCAAUAGCGUUAUAAUUCAGCCAGCAUGUCCAAUGUAAUCUUCGUUACUGGUAUAGACUUCAAAUUAGUCAAAUGCAGCCAAUAUUUGCCGAUCCGUUAUGUAUUAGCCAACUGGCGCACAGCAUGGAGCAUUCACAAGGAGAUACCUCGCUUUUACGAAGCGACAUUUCAAAGAAGUUUAAUGCCCAACUCUUGUUUAAAGUAGACUAGAGUUGGGAAACGAACAGAACCGAACAUGAACAAGCCUCACGACCAAACCAAACGAACUGUCCUUAUCCUUCUGCCACACCAGAAGUGGUAUCUAAACCCUCAGAUAGUGCACAUAAAGACAGUUUUGGUGAAUCCAGUCAUUCGUUUCAUCAGCUUCUCUCUAACCGAACCGAACCAUAGACGUUAUCGAACCGAACCAGAACUUUAUCAGAUGGGUUCGAUUCCCAUCUCUAGUUUAAAGGUGUCGGAAUCUUAUGUGCUAAUUUAGUGCAGUGGUAGAUAAGCUUUGUCGGGCUGGAAGCUGCAUCAUGGAAAAACAAAAAAGUCGAUCCCAUUGGAACCGAGCCUCUAGCUGCGUCUUCCUUUUGUAUUGUGGACAGACGUUUGGAGGGCACGGACGUGGCCUGAUAUCUAUAGCCUAUGAACUAUACGAACUCUGAAGCCUAUAAAGACAUAAACAUGAAAAUAAGCCAAAGUCUUCGUACAUGACGCUUUAUCUAAAGAUAAACACGAUCGAUUUCAAAGGUCAUAAUGCACCUACUUGAAAACUAGACUUUUUCCAGUGGGGUCACAAUGUCUACGUCUUGACCUCCAAGGCCUGGAGGUUCAUGGGGGCAUAUAAGCUUACUUGUUUCUAUGGUCAACUGCUAACCAGACUAUCAUGUGACCUGCAUAAUUCAAACGUAGACAAUUAUUACUCUGCGUCAAAAUUUGUGUUUCAAUUUCAUAAUUUCACAAUGUAUUUGCAAAAUACAAGUAGGCCAACUAAUGCUUAAACCAUCAAAAAUGACGGAUGUAUUAUCACUACUAGACCAGGAAUUGCGCCAAUAAGGAUAGAUGCACCCCCAUUCCAUCCACUUUAUCUAACAAGAAACAGACUUUUUACAAAGUUAAUUGACAGACUUUUUUUUUCUAUUUGUUAUGAGCUUUCCUACAUGUUCCUUCAAAAGUAUCGAUACUCAAAAGGAUGAUUUGGGCUUAAAGUCAUAUACAGACUUAAUUGUGUGACUGUCCCAGCUUCAAGAUAAGCUCCCUUUAUUGAUCAAGAAUAUUCUGAAAUUAUAGUAAGACUAACCAUUAGUUUAUUGCGAUGUCUAUCAAGAAAGUUUUUCUCUAAACCCUCCUGUAUGGCACUGAGACAUGGAUACUUUACAGAAAGCAACUAAGGUUCCUGCGCUAGGCACAUGGUGCAAGCUUACACUAUAACUAACGAUGUUCUGGCGAAUGACGGUCUGGAUAGUGUACAGACAACUGCUUACUGUUCGACAGCUGCUCUGGGCAGGUCACCAAAUGGGAGACAACCAAAUCUCAUAGGCAAUUUUUUUUUUGGGGGGCUAGCUUAAAGCAGGAAGGCAUAAACAUAGGUGUCCCAUGGAGACACUUUGAAAAGACUGGCUCAGACUUAAGAUUACCCUAAGUGGCAUGGCAACACCUGGCAGCUAUUAGCCGCAGAAAGGCCGAGGUUACACAUUAUUGACCCGGAGGAAAGUUUCUGUUGAAGACAUCGUUCACGAUUGUGUAACAAAAUAUCACAUCUAGGCCUGCACUUCUAAUCUAAGGAUACAUUGUCUUACAAAUAACUUUUUUGGUUAAUACAGAAACAAAAUGAUUAAGAUUGUUAUAUUAAGAAAUAUUAGAGGAUUUUCCCUAACACAAAGAAACAAAGACAGACAAAUUACUAAAAAAAAAAAAAAAUGAAACCAAAGUAUUAGAUCCUAAUAAAUGACACUUUGGAAGUGCUGAAGAUAAUUUUUAUUUUUUCAUAUUUUCUGUUGCAAUGCUUAGAAUAAAAUUCAACAACCUUUCUUUUCUUUUUUUCAUCAAGAACCUUUACAACACAAGUAAAAAAUAACCCAACGAUCACAUCAAUCAUGUUUCUGUAGCAUUUAAUGACUUUUUUGAAGUUGUAGAUCUUUUGUUGAAUGGUUGCACACAAAAAGAAAUAUUUGCAACAGGAAUUAAUAAGGAAAACCAUCCCAUAAAAAAAAAUAUUUAAAAAAAAAGUUUAAAUGUGUGCUAAUGUUUGUAAUAUUCAAAUAAAAAAAAAUUUCAGUUCUGAUAACAAAAAUGUAUUUACACUAGUAGUGUACCUCAAUUUUUUUUUUCUCAAUUGUUUCCAAAUACUGUUGGUGAUACCAUUUUGUCUCAGUGAAGGACAAUUCAAAGUGCUGCAACAUUAACACAUAGCACCAUACACAUGUGUCAUAAUCUUUAAUUGUCAUGAUCUGUUGGCGUCUGCCCCAGCUGUCAGGUUAUUCCCACAAUGGCAGUGUUUUUAUUAUUUAUAUUUUGAUAAAACAGUUGAAUGAGCCCAAUUAAAACACAACAUUUUUACAAUAACAAAAAAUUGAAAAGAAAAUAGAUAAAUUAUUAUCUGGACAAACACCAAGAAUAAGUCACCAAUUACAACAAAUACAUUUUAAAUCCAAAUGUAAUGGAAGCAGUGCUAUUAGCAACAUAAGAAGAACUUUGAUUUGUAACCCUUAACGAUUUCAUCUGAAAAGUAACUUGACUGUUCCAACUGCUUGAGUCAACAUUAACAAUGUAAGAAGUCUAUGAAAUCUACCUGGCAAUGUAUGCUAUUAAAUAUCAGCCAAGCCUUGCUACAUGAGGCUGAAGGGUUCUACAUGUUAACAGAGGUCAAUCUUUAUAUACAAUCCUCCCUGCCCACUUAUCCAGGAGGCAUGCCACCAAAGUUGUUUCUAUAUAAAAGAAGAAGACUGUAUCCAUAUGAAUAUCUUGGGAGAUACACAUUUUAAAGCAAUGUUUGUGAAAAUAAUGAGCUUUAUAAACAACAAAAAUUUCAUGGAUAAAUUAAAAAAAUUAAAUAAAACAAUUUCACUGAUAGCCUUAAUCUCAAUCACAACUAUUACAAUCAUUUCACUCAAUAGCUCUUGUUUGUAGCAACUUCACUCUUAAUAGAAAAUGUAAAUGAAAUUAAAACAUCCUAGAAAAUUAAAUACAAUUCAAUAUUGAACUAAAUAUAAACACAGAAAAUGUAUCUUAUUUUACAAUUGAACAUUAUAGUCAUAUGUACCAUGUUGGCAAAACCAACACUUUAAAAUUUAAAUCAGUGUUUCCCAAACUGUGUUCCCUGAAUAGAUGUUCCCAACUACUGGAAUAAUUAACUAGCAGGCCACCAUGUGAACUAACUAAUCUCUCUCAAAAAUAAGCAAAGUGUUCUGUUAAAUACUCAGUAAGUGAAGUGUUCAGUUUGGGAAACACUGAUUUGAAGUGAUUAGAUUGGUUCCAAUUGUAAAACAAACAAUAAAAACACAUAAGUAAAUCAUAAAUGCAGUCUUCAUAGUCUGAAACCAAAACAAAUAUAA